AUACGGAGGGUGCGAGCGUUAAUCGGAAUUACUGGGCGUAAAGCGUACGUAGGCGGUUUGCUCAGUCAGAUGUGAAAGCCCCGGGCUUAACCUGGGAACUGCAUUUGAUACUGGCAGACUAGAGUAUGAUAGAGGGGGGUAGAAUUCCUGGUGUAGCGGUGAAAUGCGUAGAUAUCAGGAGGAAUACCAGUGGCGAAGGCGGCCCCCUGGAUCAAUACUGACGCUGAGGUACGAAAGCGUGGGGAGCGAACAGGAUUAGAAACCCUUGUAGUCC
Molecule: ribosomal RNA, 274 nt
Filed under: uncultured bacterium
Lineage: Bacteria
Description: partial 16S ribosomal RNA
Rfam family: Bacterial small subunit ribosomal RNA
Source: RNAcentral